UGGCACAUGGGAGAAGAGUCCAAUCUUCUAUAGACUCUUUAUUUCCUUAUUUGACUCCUAACCAAAUCACAUCUGGCUAAGCCCAAAUAAAAUAGAUGAAACUCAAUCUAUUUAGAUUCAUAAAUUCUUAAUCAAAUUUUAAUCAAAUUAAAAAUUGAUUGAAUCAAAGUCCUAAUCAAAUUAGGGAUAAUUCUUCCUUAGC
Molecule: long non-coding RNA, 202 nt
Filed under: Elaeis guineensis (African oil palm)
Lineage: Eukaryota; Viridiplantae; Streptophyta; Magnoliopsida; Arecales; Arecaceae
Description: long non-coding RNA (EGUI_LNC078791)
Source: RNAcentral